Molecule: ribosomal RNA, 306 nt
Filed under: Triticum aestivum (bread wheat)
Lineage: Eukaryota; Viridiplantae; Streptophyta; Magnoliopsida; Poales; Poaceae
Description: partial small subunit ribosomal RNA
Source: RNAcentral
AUGUUGCAGGCAGGUGCCAAAUGCAGAGUGACCAGAGGGCGAUCCGGCCUACCGUGGCAAUCUGAAAUGGCUAGUAUAACUAUUUCAGUUAGCAUUCUGAAAAUUGUGUGGAAAGACACGACAAUCUUCUCUAUGACUCUCAUACAAGCUAAGCUUCACAACAAUUUCUCCAACAGUAUAGUAUGUGUCACCUCAGCAGCUUGGAUAUCAAAUGAGGAAAGAAAGGAAACAUCAGGCAAUCAAAACAAAAGAAUUACACCUCUGCAGCUUCAGAAUUUAUUAGUAUCAAUUAAAGAAAGACACUAA